GUGCUCUCUUCAGCAGAACAUAUGCUAAAACUGGAGAGAUACAGAGAAGAUUAGUAUGGCCCCUGUGCAAGGAUGACAUGUAAAUCUGUGAAGCAUUCCAUGUUUUU
This 107-nucleotide small nuclear RNA is filed under the name Cervus elaphus hippelaphus. Lineage: Eukaryota; Metazoa; Chordata; Mammalia; Artiodactyla; Cervidae. The record is from RNAcentral.